GAUGAACGCUGGCGGCGUGCCUAAUACAUGCAAGUCGAACGCUGGAACUCUAGCUUGCUAGAUUGAAGGAGUGGCGAACGGGUGAGUAAUACAUAAGCAACCUACCCACGAAGACUGGGAUAAUCUCUGGAAACGGGGACUAAUACCGGAUAGGUAAUCGGAAGGCAUCUUCUGAUUAUUAAAGGUUAAAAACACUGGUGGAUGGGCUUAUGGCGCAUUAGUUAGUUGGUGAGGUAACGGCCCACCAAGACGAUGAUGCGUAGCCGGCCUGAGAGGGUGAACGGCCACAUUGGGACUGAGACACGGCCCAGACUCCUACGGGAGGCAGCAGUAGGGAAUUUUCGGCAAUGGGGGGAACCCUGACCGAGCAACGCCGCGUGAGUGAUGACGGCCUUCGGGUUGUAAAGCUCUGUUGUAAGGGAAGAACGGUAGAUAGAGAAUAUCUAAAUGACGGUACCUUACCAGAAAGCCACGGCUAACUACGUG
RNAcentral lists this ribosomal RNA (486 nucleotides) under uncultured bacterium. Its description in RNAcentral is "partial 16S ribosomal RNA". It matches the Rfam family "Bacterial small subunit ribosomal RNA", at positions 28 to 507 of the family's 1533-position model. The record is from RNAcentral.